UGCGUAGGCGGUCCUGUGUGUCGGUGGUGAAAGCCCCCGGCUCAACCGGGGAAUUGCUUCCGAAACUGCAGGACUCGAGUGCAGGAGGGGAGAGUGGAACUCUUGGUGGAGCGGUGAAAUGCGUUGAUAUCAAGAGGAACGCCGGCGGCGAAAGCGACUCUCUGGACUGCAUCUGACGCUGAGGCACGAAAGCCAGGGGAGCAAACG
RNAcentral lists this ribosomal RNA (207 nucleotides) under uncultured bacterium. RNAcentral describes it as "partial 16S ribosomal RNA". It matches the Rfam family "Bacterial small subunit ribosomal RNA", at positions 568 to 774 of the family's 1533-position model. The record is from RNAcentral.